This is a small nuclear RNA of Artibeus jamaicensis (Jamaican fruit-eating bat), 146 nucleotides long. RefSeq annotates it as U4 spliceosomal RNA. Lineage: Eukaryota; Metazoa; Chordata; Mammalia; Chiroptera; Phyllostomidae. The record is from RefSeq and is a predicted model, not a curated record. The transcript has a single exon.
AGCUUUGUGGAGUGGCAGGGCCGUAGCCAAUGAGGUUUAGCUGAGGCACGAUUAUUGCUAAUUAAAGUCACAGGCAGCAAAGCCCUAGGAGAGCCAUCGUGCAGAGGACACUACACCAACUUUUUGGCCAACCCUCUAUUCUGAGU